UGCAGUCGAACGAACUCUGGUAUUGAUUGGUGCUUGCAUCAUGAUUUACAUUUGAGUGAGUGGCGAACUGGUGAGUAACACGUGGGAAACCUGCCCAGAAGCGGGGGAUAACACCUGGAAACAGAUGCUAAUACCGCAUAACAACUUGGACCGCAUGGUCCGAGCUUGAAAGAUGGCUUCGGCUAUCACUUUUGGAUGGUCCCGCGGCGUAUUAGCUAGAUGGUGGGGUAACGGCUCACCAUGGCAAUGAUACGUAGCCGACCUGAGAGGGUAAUCGGCCACAUUGGGACUGAAACACGGCCCAAACUCCUACGGGAGGCAGCAGUAGGGAAUCUUCCACAAUGGACGAAAGUCUGAUGGAGCAACGCCCCGUGAGUGAAGAAGGGUUUCGGCUCGUAAAACUCUGUUGUUAAAGAAGAACAUAUCUGAGAGUAACUGUUCAGGUAUUGACGGUAUUUAACCAGAAAGCCACGGCUAACUACGUGCCAGCAGCCGCGGUAAUACGUAGGUGGCAAGCGUUGUCCGGAUUUAUUGGGCGUAAAGCGAGCGCAGGCGGUUUUUUAAGUCUGAUGUGAAAGCCUUCGGCUCAACCGAAGAAGUGCAUCGGAAACUGGGAAACUUGAGUGCAGAANAGGACAGUGGAACUCCAUGUGUAGCGGUGAAAUGCGUAGAUAUAUGGAAGAACACCAGUGGCGAANGCGGCUGUCUGGUCUGUAACUGACGCUGANGCUCGAAAGUAUGGGUAGCAAACAGGAUUAGAUACCCUGGUAGUCCAUACCGUAAACGAUGAAUGCUAAGUGUUGGAGGGUUUCCGCCCUUCAGUGCUGCAGCUAACGCAUUAAGCAUUCCGCCUGGGGAGUACGGNCGCAAGGCUGAAACUCAAAGGAAUUGACGGGGGCNCGCACNAGCGGUGGAGCAUGUGGUUUANNUCGAAGCUACGC
RNAcentral lists this ribosomal RNA (941 nucleotides) under Lactiplantibacillus plantarum. Its description in RNAcentral is "bacterial SSU rRNA". It matches the Rfam family "Bacterial small subunit ribosomal RNA", at positions 56 to 962 of the family's 1533-position model. Lineage: Bacteria; Bacillati; Bacillota; Bacilli; Lactobacillales; Lactobacillaceae. The record is from RNAcentral.